RNAcentral lists this long non-coding RNA (1257 nucleotides) under Vulpes vulpes (red fox). Its description in RNAcentral is "lncRNA (ENSVVUG00000022289.1)". The record is from RNAcentral. Lineage: Eukaryota; Metazoa; Chordata; Mammalia; Carnivora; Canidae.
GUAAUGGGAACAUUGUCUUCCAAGUUCCAAGCUCUCCCCCGGGAUUCCAGAAGGCCAACCGUGGCUGGCUGCCCAGUGAGAGCCCUACACAGAUUUCUGCAGUAUUGUCAGGAUUUUCACCAUAGGUACCAACUUGCUCCUCAUCUGGUGGACACAUAAAUCUCCGGUCUGCCCGGGAAGGAAUGUGCUGUAGUGGGAAGAACACGGGUCUUGGAGCGGGAAUCCUAGGACCUAGUGCACCCCGGCCACUAAUUCACUGUGAGUGAUUCCUCAUCUGUACAGUGGGAUGAAUAGCACCUGCUGCGCUUGCUCCGUGGGCUCAAAUGAAACAGAAUGCAAAAGCACUUUGAACGAGGGAAAAAAAGAUUUAUGCGUUGAACACCUGCUCCGUGCCAGAAUGUCCAGAAGAGGACCACUGAAGGAGAUGAAAACCAGAUGCCCUUGUGUCUGGCUCUGCGGCGUCAGCUUCCCUGCCUUUCCUGACAAUCCUUCACGCGUCGAGCAUUUACCCUGGGCCAGGCUCUGGGCAGGGACGGGGCAAGCGAAGAGGAAACAUCUCGGUCCUGGUUCACCAGGCCCUCCCAGGGCAGGAAUGUUGAUAGAGCAGCUUCCCAAUUCUUAUCUGGGCUACAGAAGAGUCUCGGAGCUUGUGGCCCGUCCCGCGACAGCGUUUGGGGCAAAGAAGCGCCCGGAAACUCUGUGUUUUGCUGAUAAACAUGGCAAGGCUUUCACUAUGGUGUUCCACCACCCUGGAGGAAAGCCUCCCCCCCACCCCAAGGAGCAAACUGUGCUGGGAAAAUUCUCCCUCGGGUCACCAAAUGGUUAGACAUGCGUCAAGGUGAGGACGGAGAAGGUUAUGAUGGGGGGCGGUGGGCACAGGCCAUAAAUGCUCUACACAGGUAGAGAAAGCACACCUUGGGUUUGAACCCAGGUUCAUCUCAACAUCAGAAGUCCCAGACACUACCUGGUUGCUGGCUUUCACUACAGCUCUUCACAGAAUUUUGUAAAGAGGGUCUACAGGUGCGUAUGGUGACGCCUCCCUUCGGCACACAGAGUCCUGUGCGACAACAGAGCCCCCAAGCUCAUGCUCUUCCUCGCCAGCCUCACUCUGGCUGGGGGGCCCCCCUCCCUUGUUCCCCUGUGCCGAGUUCCUUUCCCUCUGCUAUGGAGGAGGGCGGCGGGGUGUGUGGGACCCCCAGGACAGCCCAGCUGUUGUUUUAAGAUCCAUUUAUUUUAAUAAAAGUUAAAUCUCCCCCA